UACGUAGGGUCCGAGCGUUGUCCGGAAUUACUGGGCGUAAAGAGCUCGUAGGUGGUUUGUCGCGUUGGUCGUGAAAACUCACAGCUUAACUGUGGGCGUGCGGGCGAUACGGGCAGACUUGAGUACUGCAGGGGAGACUGGAAUUCCUGGUGUAGCGGUGGAAUGCGCAGAUAUCGGGUGGAACACCAGUGGCGAAGGCGGUGUUCUGGGCCGGAACUGACGCUGAGGAGCGAAAGCGUGGGUAGCAAACAGG
This 253-nucleotide ribosomal RNA is filed under the name uncultured bacterium. RNAcentral describes it as "partial 16S ribosomal RNA". It matches the Rfam family "Bacterial small subunit ribosomal RNA", at positions 524 to 776 of the family's 1533-position model. The record is from RNAcentral.